This 254-nucleotide ribosomal RNA is filed under the name uncultured bacterium. RNAcentral's name for it is "partial 16S ribosomal RNA". It matches the Rfam family "Bacterial small subunit ribosomal RNA", at positions 524 to 776 of the family's 1533-position model. The record is from RNAcentral.
UACGGGGGGGGGCAAGCGUUGUUCGGAAUUAUUGGGCGUAAAGGGCGCGUAGGCGGCUUGGUAAGUCAAAGGUGAAAUCCCUCGGCUCAACUGAGGAACUGCCUUUGAAACUGCCUGGCUUGAGGCCGGGAGGGGGUAGCGGAAUUCCCAAUGUAGCGGUGAAAUGCGUAGAUAUUGGGAGGAACACCGGUGGCGAAGGCGGCUACCUGGACCGGUUCUGACGCUGAUGCGCGAAAGCGUGGGGAGCAAACGGG